This 81-nucleotide non-coding RNA is filed under the name Legionella shakespearei DSM 23087. RNAcentral's name for it is "Legionella RNA 69". It matches the Rfam family "Legionella RNA 69". Lineage: Bacteria; Pseudomonadati; Pseudomonadota; Gammaproteobacteria; Legionellales; Legionellaceae. The record is from Rfam by way of RNAcentral.
AAUCAUUUUCAUGGUGAUACAUCAGCCCGAACGAAUCGAGGUAAACACUGGCUCAAACAACUUUCUUAUCCGAAACUCACG